Molecule: long non-coding RNA, 746 nt
Filed under: Homo sapiens (human)
Lineage: Eukaryota; Metazoa; Chordata; Mammalia; Primates; Hominidae
Description: HSALNT0391285
Source: RNAcentral
CCUGUGAAGAAGGACGUGUUUGCUUCCCCCUCCACAAUGAUUGUGGCUUGAAAUUUGAAACACCAUAUGAAGGUUGGGGAGUCUCAGGGACAGCCCAGCUGGGGAUCUGAAGUUGCUGGAGAAGAUUUUGCCUAGGCUGGCCAGCAACUGGCAGACAAGAGUCAUCCUUUCACAAUGCUGGAGACAGUAGACCUUCUUCAGGACCACAAGCAAGUCACCAUCUCUGGGUCACAGCUUCCUCAAUUAAAAAGUUAGAAGAUAGAAUCACAUUGCCUUUGAAGUUCCCUUUACCUCUAAUAAAACUUUACCAAUAGCCACUCCUAGGUUUUACCCUAUUUCCAUUUUAAGAAGUUUUCUUUUCCACACAAAGUAAAUCUCCUUUCCAGAUGUGCUUUACAUUGGAAAGAACAGAAGAGCUGAGAACAGAAAGAUCUAAGUUUAACUCCUGCUCUCUACUUCUUAGCGUUAUGAUAUCUGUUAGGUUUCUAGCUCCAUUUGAUUUGUCUGGAAAAUAGGAUGAUAAUGUUGUAGGAAACAAUGGCACUUAAUGUCCUUAGUAUGAGACACAUAGUAAGUACUAAAUAAAUAUAGUUUAUUAUCAUUUGUGUUAUGGGAAAACCACUCAAGUUUACAGGCUUUCCCCUAAUGCACAAACUCCUAUUUUUUCUGGUUAUCUUUAAUAUCUAAGAAAUCUGAGAUAACCAGUUUGGGGCCAUCAUUUUAUUUCCACAUUUGAAAGAUUCUUC